GAGAUAAUAGUAUAAGUUAAGUAUAGUUUAUUUUCAAUAAAUGGGUUUUUAUCUUAU
This 57-nucleotide transfer RNA is filed under the name Mecistocirrus digitatus. RNAcentral describes it as "tRNA-Glu". Lineage: Eukaryota; Metazoa; Nematoda; Chromadorea; Rhabditida; Trichostrongylidae. The record is from RNAcentral.